Molecule: transfer RNA, 62 nt
Filed under: Cordylochernes scorpioides
Lineage: Eukaryota; Metazoa; Arthropoda; Arachnida; Pseudoscorpiones; Chernetidae
Description: tRNA-Ser
Rfam family: tRNA
About the family: Transfer RNA (tRNA) molecules are approximately 80 nucleotides in length. Their secondary structure includes four short double-helical elements and three loops (D, anti-codon, and T loops). Further hydrogen bonds mediate the characteristic L-shaped molecular structure. tRNAs have two regions of fundamental functional importance: the anti-codon, which is responsible for specific mRNA codon recognition, and the 3' end, to which the tRNAs corresponding amino acid is attached (by aminoacyl-tRNA synthetases). tRNAs cope with the degeneracy of the genetic code in two manners: having more than one tRNA (with a specific anti-codon) for a particular amino acid; and 'wobble' base-pairing, i.e. permitting non-standard base-pairing at the 3rd anti-codon position.
Source: RNAcentral
GUCCAGGGUAGCCUAGUGGUCGGUAAGCGGAAGGUCGUGGGUUCGAUUCCCAUCCCUUGACA